GGGGCUGUAGCUCAGUGGUAGAGUGCUCACCUAGCACGUGCGAGGCACUAGGUUCAAUCCUCAGCGCCA
This 69-nucleotide transfer RNA is filed under the name Marmota monax (woodchuck). It matches the Rfam family "tRNA". Rfam says of the family: Transfer RNA (tRNA) molecules are approximately 80 nucleotides in length. Their secondary structure includes four short double-helical elements and three loops (D, anti-codon, and T loops). Further hydrogen bonds mediate the characteristic L-shaped molecular structure. tRNAs have two regions of fundamental functional importance: the anti-codon, which is responsible for specific mRNA codon recognition, and the 3' end, to which the tRNAs corresponding amino acid is attached (by aminoacyl-tRNA synthetases). tRNAs cope with the degeneracy of the genetic code in two manners: having more than one tRNA (with a specific anti-codon) for a particular amino acid; and 'wobble' base-pairing, i.e. permitting non-standard base-pairing at the 3rd anti-codon position. The record is from Rfam by way of RNAcentral. Lineage: Eukaryota; Metazoa; Chordata; Mammalia; Rodentia; Sciuridae.